This 177-nucleotide small RNA is filed under the name Chelonoidis abingdonii (Abingdon island giant tortoise). Its description in RNAcentral is "TUC338 (ENSCABG00000011379.1)". The record is from RNAcentral. Lineage: Eukaryota; Metazoa; Chordata; Testudines; Testudinidae.
CUGAGAGCUCUAGAGGCUGAAGUUCUCUAUUUAUCUACAGAGCAAAAAGAUUUAGUGCAGGCAGCAGGAGUACAAAUUUCCCCACACAACUAAUAUGUUUUGACCCCAUCCUGGAGCGAGCAUUCUAGGUUGAAAGCAUAGUACUAUCCAUCCAUAUCCAUUUAAGCCUUCAGGUCU